This 466-nucleotide ribosomal RNA is filed under the name uncultured bacterium. RNAcentral's name for it is "partial 16S ribosomal RNA". It matches the Rfam family "Bacterial small subunit ribosomal RNA", at positions 29 to 506 of the family's 1533-position model. The record is from RNAcentral.
ACGAACGCUGGCGGCGUGCUUAACACAUGCAAGUCGAACGGAAAGGCCCUGCUUUUGUGGGGUGCUCGAGUGGCGAACGGGUGAGUAACACGUGAGUAACCUGCCCUUGACUUUGGGAUAACUUCAGGAAACUGGGGCUAAUACCGGAUAGGAGCUCCUGCUGCAUGGUGGGGGUUGGAAAGUUUCGGCGGUUGGGGAUGGACUCGCGGCUUAUCAGCUUGUUGGUGGGGUAGUGGCUUACCAAGGCUUUGACGGGUAGCCGGCCUGAGAGGGUGACCGGCCACAUUGGGACUGAGAUACGGCCCAGACCCCUACGGGAGGCAGCAGUGGGGAAUAUUGCACAAUGGGCGGAAGCCUGAUGCAGCAACGCCGCGUGCGGGAUGACGGCCUUCGGGUUGUAAACCGCUUUCGCCUGUGACGAAGCGUGAGUGACGGUAAUGGGUAAAGAAGCACCGGCUAACUACGU